This 492-nucleotide ribosomal RNA is filed under the name uncultured bacterium. RNAcentral describes it as "partial 16S ribosomal RNA". It matches the Rfam family "Bacterial small subunit ribosomal RNA", at positions 28 to 506 of the family's 1533-position model. The record is from RNAcentral.
GACGAACGCUGGCGGCGUGCUUAACACAUGCAAGUCGACGACGCUACUGAGUAGCAAUAUUUAGUAGUGGAGUGGCGCAAGGGUGAGUAAUGUAUACGUAACCAACCCAUCGGAGACGGAUAACAUUUCGAAAGGGAUGCUAAAACGGCAUGAAGCCACGAUUUCGCAUGAGAUUGUGGUUAAAGAACCGGUAACAGGUUGCCGAUGGCUGGGCGUAUAUCCGAUUAGCUAGUUGGUAGUGUAAUGGACUACCAAGGCGACGAUCGGUAGCUGGUCUGAGAGGAUGAUCAGCCACACUGGCACUGAGACACGGGCCAGACUCCUACGGGAGGCAGCAGUGGGGAAUAUUAGGCAAUGCCCGCAAGGGUGACCCAGCAACGCCGCGUGGAGGAUGAAGGCCGUAAGGUUGUAAACUCUGACAAGCAGGGAAGAACGGCUAUGGUAAAAGGCCAUAGAAUGACGGUACCUGCCUGAAGCCCCGGCUAACUACGU